This 1426-nucleotide ribosomal RNA is filed under the name Weissella confusa. Its description in RNAcentral is "bacterial SSU rRNA". It matches the Rfam family "Bacterial small subunit ribosomal RNA". Lineage: Bacteria; Bacillati; Bacillota; Bacilli; Lactobacillales; Lactobacillaceae. The record is from RNAcentral.
UGCAAGUCGAACGCUUUGUGGUUCAACUGAUUUGAAGAGCUUGCUCAGAUAUGACGAUGGACAUUGCAAAGAGUGGCGAACGGGUGAGUAACACGUGGGAAACCUACCUCUUAGCAGGGGAUAACAUUUGGAAACAGAUGCUAAUACCGUAUAACAAUGACAACCGCAUGGUUGUUAUUUAAAAGAUGGUUCUGCUAUCACUAAGAGAUGGUCCCGCGGUGCAUUAGCUAGUUGGUAAGGUAAUGGCUUACCAAGGCGAUGAUGCAUAGCCGAGUUGAGAGACUGAUCGGCCACAAUGGGACUGAGACACGGCCCAUACUCCUACGGGAGGCAGCAGUAGGGAAUCUUCCACAAUGGGCGAAAGCCUGAUGGAGCAACGCCGCGUGUGUGAUGAAGGGUUUCGGCUCGUAAAACACUGUUGUAAGAGAAGAAUGACAUUGAGAGUAACUGUUCAAUGUGUGACGGUAUCUUACCAGAAAGGAACGGCUAAAUACGUGCCAGCAGCCGCGGUAAUACGUAUGUUCCAAGCGUUAUCCGGAUUUAUUGGGCGUAAAGCGAGCGCAGACGGUUAUUUAAGUCUGAAGUGAAAGCCCUCAGCUCAACUGAGGAAUUGCUUUGGAAACUGGAUGACUUGAGUGCAGUAGAGGAAAGUGGAACUCCAUGUGUAGCGGUGAAAUGCGUAGAUAUAUGGAAGAACACCAGUGGCGAAGGCGGCUUUCUGGACUGUAACUGACGUUGAGGCUCGAAAGUGUGGGUAGCAAACAGGAUUAGAUACCCUGGUAGUCCACACCGUAAACGAUGAGUGCUAGGUGUUUGAGGGUUUCCGCCCUUAAGUGCCGCAGCUAACGCAUUAAGCACUCCGCCUGGGGAGUACGACCGCAAGGUUGAAACUCAAAGGAAUUGACGGGGACCCGCACAAGCGGUGGAGCAUGUGGUUUAAUUCGAAGCAACGCGAAGAACCUUACCAGGUCUUGACAUCCCUUGACAACUCCAGAGAUGGAGCGUUCCCUUCGGGGACAAGGUGACAGGUGGUGCAUGGUUGUCGUCAGCUCGUGUCGUGAGAUGUUGGGUUAAGUCCCGCAACGAGCGCAACCCUUAUUACUAGUUGCCAGCAUUCAGUUGGGCACUCUAGUGAGACUGCCGGUGACAAACCGGAGGAAGGUGGGGAUGACGUCAAAUCAUCAUGCCCCUUAUGACCUGGGCUACACACGUGCUACAAUGGCGUAUACAACGAGUUGCCAACCCGCGAGGGUGAGCUAAUCUCUUAAAGUACGUCUCAGUUCGGAUUGUAGGCUGCAACUCGCCUACAUGAAGUCGGAAUCGCUAGUAAUCGCGGAUCAGCACGCCGCGGUGAAUACGUUCCCGGGUCUUGUACACACCGCCCGUCACACCAUGAGAGUUUGUAACACCCAAAGCCGGUGGGGUA